UGGGGAAUCUUGGACAAUGGGGGCAACCCUGAUCCAGCAAUGCCGCGUGUGUGAAGAAGGCCCUAGGGUUGUAAAGCACUUUCAAUUGGGAAGAAAAGUUCCGGGUUAAUAACCCGUGGACCAUGACGGUACCUUUAGAAGAAGCACCGGCUAACUCCGUGCCAGCAGCCGCGGUAAUACGGAGGGUGCGAGCGUUAAUCGGAAUUACUGGGCGUAAAGCGCGCGUAGGCGGUUUGGUAAGUCAGAUGUGAAAGCCCCGGGCUCAACCUGGGAACUGCAUUUGAUACUGCCUGACUAGAGUAUGGUAGAGGGAAGUGGAAUUCCACAUGUAGCGGUGAAAUGCGCAGAUAUCAGGAGGAACACCGGUGGCGAAGGCGGGGUCUCUGGGGCCGGAACUGACGCUGAGGAGCGAAAGCGU
RNAcentral lists this ribosomal RNA (418 nucleotides) under uncultured bacterium. RNAcentral describes it as "bacterial SSU rRNA". It matches the Rfam family "Bacterial small subunit ribosomal RNA", at positions 355 to 762 of the family's 1533-position model. The record is from RNAcentral.